Molecule: ribosomal RNA, 429 nt
Filed under: Chloroflexota bacterium
Lineage: Bacteria; Bacillati; Chloroflexota
Description: Chloroflexi bacterium partial 16S ribosomal RNA
Rfam family: Bacterial small subunit ribosomal RNA
Source: RNAcentral
UGGGGAAUUUUGCACAAUGGGCGCAAGCCUGAUGCAGCCAUGCCGCGUGUAUGAAGAAGGCCUUCGGGUUGUAAAGUACUUUCAGCGGGGAGGAAGGGAGUAAAGUUAAUACCUUUGCUCAUUGACGUUACCCGCAGAAGAAGCACCGGCUAACUCCGUGCCAGCAGCCGCGGUAAUACGGAGGGUGCAAGCGUUAAUCGGAAUUACUGGGCGUAAAGCGCACGCAGGCGGUUUGUUAAGUCAGAUGUGAAAUCCCCGGGCUCAACCUGGGAACUGCAUCUGAAACUGGCAAGCUUGAGUCUCGUAGAGGGGGGUAGAAUUCCAGGUGUAGCGGUGAAAUGGGUAGAGAUCUGGAGGAAAACCGGUGGCGAAGGCGGCCCCCUGGACGAAGACUGACGCUCAGGUGCGAAAGCGUGGGGAGCAAACAGG